AAAGACUACUAGGGGAGCCGUAUGGCUGAGAUGAAUUGUAUUCAGACCCUUUGAACCUGAUAUAGUUAACACUAACGUAGGGAAGUAGCGUAGACAUUAA
This 100-nucleotide non-coding RNA is filed under the name Staphylococcus hyicus. RNAcentral describes it as "TPP sequence". It matches the Rfam family "TPP riboswitch aptamer (THI element)". From Rfam's summary of the family: Vitamin B(1) in its active form thiamin pyrophosphate (TPP) is an essential coenzyme that is synthesised by coupling of pyrimidine and thiazole moieties in bacteria. The previously detected thiamin-regulatory element, thi box was extended, resulting in a new, highly conserved RNA secondary structure, the THI element, which is widely distributed in eubacteria and also occurs in some archaea. The record is from RNAcentral. Lineage: Bacteria; Bacillati; Bacillota; Bacilli; Caryophanales; Staphylococcaceae.